RNAcentral lists this long non-coding RNA (689 nucleotides) under Sorghum bicolor (sorghum). RNAcentral describes it as "long non-coding RNA (SBIC_LNC011143)". Lineage: Eukaryota; Viridiplantae; Streptophyta; Magnoliopsida; Poales; Poaceae. The record is from RNAcentral.
GGCUACCCGACGCCGACGCCGAAGCCGCCGGCCAAGGGGCCCAAGCCGGAGAAGCCCCCGACCAAGGGCCACGGCCACAAGCCGGAGAAGCCGCCCAAGGAGCACAAGCCGACUCCGCCCACCUACACCCCGAGCCCCAAGCCCACGCCGCCGCCGGCUACUCCCAAGCCGACGCCGCCCACCUACACGCCGAGCCCUAAGCCCAAGUCGCCGGUCUACCCUCCCCCGCCGAAAGCCAGUACUCCUCCGACCUACACCCCGAGCCCCAAGCCUCCGGCGACCAAGCCGCCUACCUACCCGACCCCCAAGCCACCAGCUACCAAGCCUCCGACACCUCCUGUGUACACUCCGAGCCCCAAACCACCGGUUACAAAGCCUCCUACACCCAAGCCGACCCCGCCGGUGUACACGCCGAACCCCAAGCCACCGGUUACCAAGCCUCCGACACACACGCCGAGCCCCAAGCCUCCGACAUCCAAGCCGACUCCGCCGGUGUACACACCGAGCCCCAAGCCACCGAAGCCGUCCCCGCCGACGUACACGCCGACCCCGAAGCCACCGGCUACCAAGCCGCCCACCUCAACUCCGACGCACCCUAAGCCGACGCCGCACACGCCUAUCCCCAAGCCCACGCCGCCAACCUACAAGCCGGCACCGAAGCCGACGCCGCCGGCGCCCACCCCGCCGAC